This 5843-nucleotide long non-coding RNA is filed under the name Homo sapiens (human). RNAcentral describes it as "non-protein coding lnc-SERTAD2-6:3". The record is from RNAcentral. Lineage: Eukaryota; Metazoa; Chordata; Mammalia; Primates; Hominidae.
GGCGGACCUGCGGCUCCGGGCGGUUCGGCAGCGCAGCGCGGCGCGGCCGCCUGCAGGCUCCCAGGCUCGGGUCCAGCCGCCACGACCGGCUCGCGUGGCUCCGGGGGAGCGGCCGAGAGUGAAGCGCGGAGAGGGCGCCUCGGAGGCUGCCGGGGCGGCGGGGCGGUUGUCCUCUGUAGAGGGAGCGGAGCUUCCCCCUGCCCCCAAGAGCACCGGCAGCCCCGGCCCCCCGCAUCCUGGCAUCCCGGGCCCGGCGGCCAGAGCAGGCCCUGCGCCCCCUCGGCUUUCUGGUCCUCGUGCGUCCCCCGGGGCAGAGGCGCGAGGAGGGACGGCCGGCUGAGGCCUGUCACGCCUUCACUCCCGAGUGUCCAGGCGGACGGGGUCCCUGCCUCUCCAACCCCUCCUCUCCCUUGGCUUCCCCCAGGGCACAGAGCGCUCCUCCUUGUCCACAGGAGACACAAGGCUUCAAACGCACACCCCCACACCCCAAUCCUCUCCAAACACACUCAGGGCGCUGGCCACUGGUUCUCCUUCCUCCUUCCUUCCUUCCUUCUUCUGUCUUUUUUUUUUUUUUUUUUUUUUUUUGACAGAGUCUUGCUCUGUCGCCCAGGCUGGAGUGCAGUGGCACGAUCUCGGCUCACUGCAACCUCCGCCUCCUGGGUUCAAGCGAUUCUCUUGCCUCAGUCUCCCGAGUAGCUGGGAUUACAGGCAUGCGCCACCACGCCCGGCUAAUAUUUUUGUAUUUUUAGUAGAGACGGAGUUUCACCAUGUUGGCCAGGCUGCUCUCAAACUCCUGACCUCAAGUGAUCCGCCCGCCUUGGCCUCCCAAAGUGCUGAGAUUACAGGCGUGAGCCACCUCGCCUGGCCCUUUUUUUCCUUUUUUUUAAGAAAGGAAGAUCUCGCCCCUUGCCCAGGCUGGAUUCGAACUCCGGGGCUUAAGCGAUCCUUCCGCCUCAGCUUCUCCAGCAGCCAGGACUGCAGGUGCGCACCACCAUGCCCGGCGUAGCCACCCGUGUUCUAUCCCCAGCACAGCUCCUUAGAUGGUGACUUUUAACAGCUCACUUCGCCUCCCUGUCCUCAGUUUCUCCUUCUGGAAAGGAACUGGAUUGGAUGGGGAUGGUUUCUGAGGCUCCUUCCAGCUCAGUUGUCCACCUUAAAGGUGUAAGUGGCAGAGGGUGGAGCGGGUCUGGUUCAGGGAGGAGAGCUGGGAGUAAAGGCAGGCCAGGGGCUGCGAGGUGGGUGGAGGAAAGGAAGACAGGAGGGAGGAGAGCGGGGCAUGGAGGAUAGCUUUGCCAGCCUAGCCCACCAGUCCCGGCCUCUAAGAGCAGGCUGGCAGAGCCCCAAGAGCCUAUACCACGGAAGGGCCCCAUGGGAAUCCCCUCACUCUCUGGGUGCCUGAGUUUGCAGAUAUCUGUUUGCCAAAGGAUGAGGGAAGGAACAGGAAGGAACGUGCCGGCAGGACUGGAAAAUCCAGCUGGGCAGGAGAUAGCUGUGGCUGCACCUCGCACUGGAGGCUGAAGCUUUGCUUGGCUCUGCCCCUGUGUCACGUGUCAGGUGAGGCUGCUGGACCCCUGGAAGCCCCGCCAAGGGAAGUGACUACCACCAGGCCGCAAGCUCCUGUGCAGAAGUCUAGCAGCCUUUAGCUUUGGGGCCAUACACAUGUGCUUCCAAGACGGUAGGCAGAUGACGUUCAAUUUAAAUCCACUUUCCUAUACGUUUACUCAAUGAGUUCAAAGAUGCUUUUCAUUUACAAGCUUGGCGGCAGCUUCCAACACAUUAACCCAAAGGCCUUCAUGUUCUCCCCAGCCAACCCCUUUGUCCCUCUGCAGAAAGGGAACCUCCUGCAAAAUGUCCAGAUGGUUCAGAGAAGUAUAUAUGACAGGCUGGUUGCAAGUGGCAGGAACGCCCCUCUAAGUAGUUUAAAGACAUAUGUAUGGGUGUGUGUGUGUGUGCACGCGUGUGCAUGUAUAUAAUUUAUUUUUUGCUCAAAUAAUUUUGGUAAAGGUAAUUAACUAAAGGUAAAUAACUAACCUUUACCAAGAGCAGGGAUGUGGCUGGGCCCAGAAUGCAAGACUCUCCGAUAGCAGCUCCCAAGCUUAACAAGUUAAAGACACACUGCAGCUUUUCUCCAAAAUUCUAGUUAAAAGCUGAGGCCGUCACCAAACAAUUGUUGCCAAGAGCUCAGGAUGUUGUGGUUGGAGGGGCCUGCGCCAGAGGUCCACUUCUGAACCAAUCAGCAGGGCCCGGGGGCUGGGCCAUGUUCUGCUUACCUCACAGCUUCCACACCCACAGGGUUUUGGGAACCGGAGGCAGGCGGACAGCCCCAGGAGUCAUAAUGAGAAGAAAUGCUACCUCGGUACAGUGGACGAACGUGCAAACCACACAGAAAGUUUGAAAAAGGUCUACUGGAGGCUCUGCUUUCUGGUAAUGGCUCCAAAAUACAAAGGGCCUCACACUCCGGCACUGACGAAGUCCAUACGGCUCUUAGGCUGACACCCACCAGCCAGUCAAUGGGAGAGCUGGGACCAGAGGGCUGACUUGACCUCUUCAGCAGGAGUGUCCAAGGCCUUUGUGGGCGGUGGUGCAGGUUGUGCGUGUGAAUAAUGAAGGCAAUUCAUUAUUACUCAGAACACAACACCUUGGCGAUCUUUAGAAACAUGAGAAACAGAGCUUCCAAGGUACCUGCUCACACGCCUCUCUGGAGGUAAUCGCUGUGCCGUGGCUCUUAAUGAGCCACUCUCCACAUGGCCUGAGGCCUGGCACCGUGGGAAUUCCCUCUGUCCCUGAGUCAUAGGCCUCUGCUACUGAACUGUAAAUAGGGACCGGGUCAAUGACAGCGGGACAGCUGGCCCAGGGAGCAGGGUUGGGGUGGGGACUGCUGGGAGGCUGCCCUGUUAAUCUCUCUCUACCAUACAAGGCACUCCUUGGGUGACCCCCGUGACUGUGAUGCAGAACAGGGAAGGAGAGUGGGUGUUAACCUUGAGCCUAAGGCUCCUCCUCCACCUGUGGGACUGUAAGCCACCUCUCCUGGGCUGAGGGCUCUGGAAGGAGGCUUGGCUGCUCCUCAGCACUCGGGGAGCGGUUUUUCAGGCACACACACUUGAGCUCCAUGACCUCCCAGAUUCCCACCGCCCCUGCUUGACUCUUCCCCUGUCUCCCCUUCCUGAAAUGACCCCCUCUGAAUUCCUUUGACUGUUCUCUGGUUGUCAGUCUCACAGUGACAGGUGUGUAAAGCAUGAGGUGACCUUGGGCAAGUUGUUCAACCUCAGUGUUAUCACCUGUAGAACGGAGAAAACAAGACUACAUACUUUGGAGGUAAGUGUAGGUUCCAAUGAAAUAACAGAGCUUGAGGGGUCCUAUAGGCACAUGGGCCUGGAGCCAGACCCCCUGGGUUCAGAUCUGUCUUGCCGUGGGUUUUGGGGCAAGUUCCUUUUCUGUGCCUCAGUUUUAUCAUCUGUAAAGUGAGAUGAGAAUAAUGGUACCUAUUUCUUAGGACUCUUGGGAGAGUCAAUGAGCAAAUACACAGAAAACACCUUGAACAGGACCUGGCGCUAAGUGCUGGGUUGAGAGCUAGCUAUUAUUGUUGUUGUCAGAGAGCUUAAUGUUGUGCUGUGCAUACAGGAAGCUCUCAAGAAAUGAUAACUCAACAAAAGAAAAUAAAACAAAACCCGAACCUGCCUCCUUCAAUCGGGCCUUGUUUCCUAAAUGAGCCUGAGCUCCUGGGUGAGGUGCGGGCAUAGCAAGAGUUUCACACAAUUUUGAUCCUGUAUCCGAAAAGCUGCCAGACACUGUGUUUUUCUUACCCUUCUUUUUGGGGGUGGAGUGAGGAUGUCACAAACUCCCUUGGGAAACUGAUGAAAGCUACAGACCCUCUCCCCAGAAAGGUGCUUGGAAGCAAAUAUUCACAAGAUGUUGCACACAGUUUCAGGGGGUUCCUGGGCUCCCUGGGAGCCAGGGUGAGAAGCUCCAUUUUAGAUGGUGCACUGUGCCAUGUCUCAUUUGUUGGUUUGAUCCCAACAAAACACAAGCUAGCCCUGCUCCUUUGCUCAUCAGUGGGUUGUACCCCAGCUUCCACCCUGGCUCCGGGGACUCUCCUUGAUUCCUCUGCCCGGGCCCUCUGGCUCAGUGCCAGCUCCAAGCUACAAAACUUGGCUGGGAGUUGAAUGCAGAAUUUGUUCAGCGUUUGAAGGCUAAGAAAGAAAAAGGAGGAAAAAAGUAGACUCGACUUAGAAAAAAAUCAGACAAAAGAAAUCAUCCUCCAAGCCAAGUGCUAUAAUUCAUAGGGCUCAUAUUUGCUGAGUGAGACUAAAUGGUAUUUAUGGCUAAGCGGCCCUGGAUUCACCCUGGGUUGAGUGAUCCAGGAGUUGCCCAAAGUCUGGUGGAGAGGGCGGGGUGGGCCUGAGGGCUGGAAGACCAGACAACUUGCACAGGGAGACUUUGUUGCUGUUCAUAGAUGAUGUGGUUUUUCCCCUGCUUAAUGUUAAGUGUAGUUUCAGAAUUUUGUAUGUGUUUCUGGGAAGAUGAUUCCCUCAAGCAAUAUUACUUGGGGUAGAUGGUAUACUUAGAAUUGGAUUAUUAGCCAUAGGGCCCAUUCAUUCAUACGCUCAUUCAUUCAAGGUUUAUGAGGUGCCUUCUUUGUAUGAGAAGCUGUUCUAGGCACUGGGGAUACAGUAGUGAUUGUGGCAAUAAUGGUCGCUGUCCUAAUUAAGUUUACAGUGUUGGCAGGAGAGACAGAGAACACAAAAUAAACAGUAAAUAUAUAUUGGAUGAUAUGGUGUGAUAAGAAGAAAAAUACAGUAGGCUGGGAUCUAGAGAAGGUUGGGGGGCACACUUUCAGUGAAUGGUCAGGAAAGGCUUCUUCCAGCAGAGGCUGAAGCGGGGAGGGAGGGAGUUCAGCACAGGUCUGAGAAAGGCCCCUGUGAGGAAGGAGGACCAGGCACCAGGUGACCAAUCCUGAUGGGGCUGGGAUAGCCCAGUAGGAGUGAUGACCCACAGGGUCAGUUCCCACUGCUGGGGGUUUCUGGAUGACGAGGUUGUUGAGCACCCCCAUGCUUAUGGAUACCAUGAGAGGAAGCAUAGGGGAUAGAGGGACAAGCUAAAUGACACUAGGAGGAGACAAUCAGAUAAAUCCAGAAUGUGGGACAUUCUACAAGACGACUAGCCUGAUCUCUUCAAAAAAGCCAUGUAAUGAAAAAUAAAAGUGCAGCCAUAAAAAAGAAUGAAAUCAUGUCCUCUGCAGCAACCUAGGAGGAGCUGGAAGCCAUAAUCUUAAGCAAAUUAAUGUGAACAGAAAACCAAAUACUACAUGUUCUCACAUAAGUGGGAGCUAAACAUUGGGUUCUCAUGGACAUACAUAAAGAUGGCAACAAUAGAUACCAGAGACUACUAGAGAGGAGAGGGAGGGAGAAGGGGAAGGGUUGAAAAACUAACUGUUGCAUACUGUGUUCACCAGCUGGGUGGCAGGAUCAUUUAUACCCCAAACCUCAGCAUUAUACAAUAUGCCCAGGUAACAAGUCUGUACAUGUACCCCCUGAAUCUAAAAUAAAAGUUGAAAUUAUAAAGAAAAAGAAAAAGAUGGGAGAACUGUUCUAGAUGAAAAGAAACAUACAACCAAAUGAGAUGUAUUUUCCUUGAGCAACCCCUGGUUUGAACAGGCAAACCAGAAAAGACAUUUUAGGGACAUUUGGAGGAAUUCAAAUAUAGACUUCAUUUCAAAUGGGAGUCAGAAAUUAUGUUUAACUGUCUUAGGUGUGAUAACAGUGGUGAGGUUAGAUAUGGAAAAUCAUCCCUUUAUUUUGGAUAUGGUGUUGGUGUGUGUGGGUGACAUGGGAGAAUGUCCAUAA